RNAcentral lists this small nuclear RNA (149 nucleotides) under Leptobrachium leishanense (Leishan spiny toad). Its description in RNAcentral is "U2 spliceosomal RNA (ENSLLEG00000020882.1)". It matches the Rfam family "U2 spliceosomal RNA". From Rfam's summary of the family: U2 is a small nuclear RNA (snRNA) component of the spliceosome (involved in pre-mRNA splicing). The record is from Rfam by way of RNAcentral. Lineage: Eukaryota; Metazoa; Chordata; Amphibia; Anura; Megophryidae.
AUCGCUUCUCGGCCUUUUGGCUAAGAUCAAGUCUAGUAUCUGUUCUUAUCAGAUUAAUAUCUGAUACGCCCCCUAUCUGGGGGCCAUAUAUUAAAUGGAUUUUUAGAACAGAGAGAUGGAAGAAGAGCUCGAGGACUGGUGCACUUAAA